Molecule: non-coding RNA, 8402 nt
Organism: Nothobranchius furzeri (turquoise killifish)
Lineage: Eukaryota; Metazoa; Chordata; Actinopteri; Cyprinodontiformes; Nothobranchiidae
Source: RefSeq, a predicted model, not a curated record
AUAUAUAUAUAUAUAUAUAUAUAUAUAUAUAUAUAUAUAUAUGAUUUGUUUUUGUUACAAAACACACAAUUAACUUAGAAUAUGUGAUUAUUGUUAAUUUUAUUUAUUUAUUUUUUUAAAUAAAAAUUAAAAUCACUGGGGAAAACUGGGAGGGCGGCGCCCUAUCGCCCUCUACUGGCCAGCCGCCACUGAUGAUGAGUCAGCAUAAAUGUGCGAGGUGGAGGACCUCCUGGCUGAUGAGUCAAAUCCAACUGAUGUUCAAUUUUGUACCGGACUAAUGUAACUUUUCUAUAUCAAUCUUAUAUUUUAUUUAUGAUUGUAUAGGUGUUUUAUAAUGUCCUCCCUAGGAUGCCGACUGUACAACUGGCACAGGACUACAGUUGUAAACUAGCCUAUGGCUAACUCUGGCAUGUUUCAGCGUGACUGAUGUUAACAUGCACUGUCCUGAUUAUUAAUAAAUAAAUUGAAAUUGAAAAACCCGAGUACACGUAGUACUACUGCAACAUGUUUAUAAUCAAGUAAAAGUAAAAUUAGUCGCUAACACAGUUUUUAUUUCUGGGCGGGCCUGAUCGUUUCCUCUCAUCAUUUUCAGAAAUAAUGAGGUAACCACUGGACAACAGGAAUAACAUCUUUAUGGUGCUCUGUCUCCUAACAACACCCACUCUUGUGACCUCAUCACUCUUUUCUCUUCAUGACCUCCACUGGCUUCCUCUUCCUCAGAGCAUCACAAAAGUCCUCCAUAACCAGGUGUCAUGCCAAUGUAAUUAUUAGUGGUGUGCAUCUCCACCUGCCUCACGAUUCGAUCCGAUUCCGAUUAUCUGCCUAACGAUUCAAUUUGAGUCUGAAAUGCAUCACGAUUGUUCACACAAAAUUUUUCAUUACUUAAUAAAAGCAGUAGAAUAGUUUUCAAUUUAUUUUUUAUUUCGAUAUCCCUGAAAUACAGAACAUACAUCUAUUCACUAUAGUGAGCAACAAUUUUUAAAGUGUGCUGCCUAUAAUUACUUAAAUAAUAUAAUAAAUAAUGUUUUCUGUGGAGCGGCUUUAAGAUAGAAUAUUACUGAACUUAAAAAUAGUAAACAAAUACUGUGCAGAGAGCUGCUUUAACCAAUCACAACAGGUGACAGCAGUCAGUACCGGUCGCUCGUGUACGUCAAAGCUAUCUUUCAUAAGACGAUAAUCAAUAAAACGAUUUAUAUAAAGUGGAUCCAGAAGUUGUAGCCCGUCUCUGCCUACAAUAUUUAGAUAUUUUUCACCCUGUUGGUGGUUUUACUGAGCAGGUGCCACUUUUGUCAUACAUUUCUUUUUAAAACAUGUUUAGACUGUUCAGAAUACAAAUCCAGGCUCUGUCACGUUUAAUUGUUGUAAUUAAACUUUGUAGGUGGGGAAGGUCAGAAAAGGAUCCGAUCAUUUUGUUUUUCCCUCAUUUACAGUGACGGAGAUGACGGCGCAGUGCGCCUGGUUCUGGUGUUCAUCACGUUAAAUUAUAUCUAUUUGCAACAAUUUUCACAAGAAAACAAAACCGUUAAAAGCAGGCCUUGUGUUGACCGGACAGUUCCCGUAUUUGACCGUCUAUUUUGACGGAGAAAGAAUUACCCCGACGCAUGCAGACGAACUGACAUUUUAUUCGUUAAGCACAUCGCAGCUGUAGCUAAAUCGCUCAAGAAAAGAUUCCCAUCUGAACAUCUGAGCUGGACACGGCUUAGACAGCUCGCCGUCAGCGCGUACGUAUGGUCCACAGCGAGCUGAAGAUGUGUAGAGGGGCGUCGCAGAACCAGAGCGCAUGCGGGAAGAUUCCUCCGACUGAAGCGAGCGUUUUCCAAACCCUGUCCCCCAGAGAGACUUGUCACUUAGAAAAUGUUCCCUGAUUAUGAAACUUUGGCUGAAUUGUGCUUGUUCCUGUCUCCAAUGUGGCGAUGCAUCCAGGAGCCGUCUGAGGAGAAGCCCAGAAUCUCACAUCCUCUUCAGCUCAGAAUGCGCACAAGCGUGACGCGUCAACCCGGUCUCACAGUAAGACCGGGUUGGACCUGUUCAGGUUUGCGCAGACAAUCUUUACAUUUAGAAUUGGCACACAGAUGUAAAAUUAAUGCAGUAAAAUAUAAAGCUUUUUUAAAAAAUAUCCAUUCAUUAUUUUACAAGCACAGAGAGCCGCAUUAGAUGGAUGGAAGAGCCGCAUGCGCUCCAGAGCCGCGGGUUGCCGACCCCUGGGCUACGGCAACGCAAUGCACAUGUCAUAGCAACUCUGCCCCUGGAAGUAGUUGUAAAACCUCAAAACUUGAUUUUCCUCACGCGUCCAGAACAUAGACAUUGUGAGAAUCUCAUUAUGUCAUGUUGCUGCAUCGAUGCAGGAUCAUACACGGCUGAAUCGCGAUGCAUCUUAGAAUCGAUCAUUUUUCCCACCUCUAGUAAUUAUCCCCGCCAGAGUUGGUUUCCCCUGCGUCGGGAGGGUGUACAGGUGUUAUGACAAAUUCAGUUACCCCCUCUAGAUCUGUUUCGUCUCCAACCAGCCAAAAAAUGCGUGUCCUAACCCUUACCCUAAUCAUAACCCUAUAACAAACUUGAAAUCGUCCCACAAACAUGAAAUCGUCCCACGCAAAACCAUACUUUUUUGGUGAUUGAAUGUUAUGGUUACAGUAGGUGUCAGGGUGAGGGUUAUUUUUUUGUGCCCAAGGCAGGGGAAACAAAUUUUGGCAGGGGUAACUACAUUGGCACGACACCGGCCCCUCCUACCUCUCUGCCCCGUUGCUCUCCCUCCUCUUCCUCCCCACAGGACCAAGCUCUGAACUUGGGGAGACUCCGCUUUCUCCAUUGCUGUACACAACUUAUUUUCAGAAUCAUUAUAGCCACACCUCCAAUAUCUCGCUCUGUUUAGUUGACCCUGUCGAACCAGAACCGCUGAAGACGCAGCGGCAUGCUCUCGUCUUCUUUUAAGUUCUGUUUGCCAUCCGAACAUUUGUGCAGAACUGAAAGGCUAGCUAGCUUUUCUCCACUAAAGUUAGCUCAACCAGAUGGCUCGUCAGUGAUGACAUUAAUGAUAACAAAUAAACUCGAUUGGAUCAACAGCUUCGUCAUUUUGUAAAUAUUGAAAAUAAAAUAAAAUAAAUGAGUUUUCAUUCGUUUUUGCUGGCAGCAAAUGUAACAUGAUCAUUACUAAAUCAACUAAAGCAAACGGGCCAGAAAUUGAUCCAUGACAUAUUUAGUGGGAGUUUGGAGGGCUGACACCAUGACUCAGAUGGUGGAGAUGGUAAUGCAGCAGAAACAGCAGGAAGCUUCAUCAAUCGUUCUCAUAGAAGAGCUGUUGUCGAACUUUUCAACAACUGACCACAUGUAUGUGUAUGCAUUUGAGCCAAAUGUGUACCGUAGAACUGGACCCGACCUCUGACGGUGCAGCUUUUGCUGAGAAGUUGGGGUCCACCCUCCAGAGGCAGGAGAACAACACUGAUGAUGAAGAAUGAACCUGGACCUGCUGGUUGGGGUGGAAUACAGAGACCUAGAAGAACCAUCACUGGCGAUGUGAAUUCUAUGUUUAUUGUAAUUGUACCUCUGUAACCGUGGAAACGGCCGACAGAAUUUCAGCUUUUUGUCCUGAGUUGCAUCAUGAAUCAUUUUGUUAUUUUGUCUGAUGCACAGCCUUCUGGGAGAACAGAUCCUAUUCAGUUGUUGAAGAGGAAAAGCCUUUGGAAAUGACAGGAGGGUAAUUAGGGGCAGGACGGAACCAGAACAUCCCCGCCCACCUCGCUGACCACCGUCUGAGGCUGGCUUUCGGUUGAGAACUGAUUUGUAAACAGUACAGGAAUAGCGAGGCCCACGUGAGCUGUUCCUGAGGCUCCAUCUUGGCUCUAAAUUGCUGCUCAGCCUCGUCCGCUUUUGCAAAUCCUUUUCACAAUUGCCUUAUUAACUGCAGCUCACUGCUGGACCCUUUAUGAGUUAUGGACUAAUUUGAGCACCCUCUCCCUUGUUUUCCAUAAUUGCUUCCAUUUCAUUGGCAGGCCUGAAGAGGAGCUGAAAUUUCAUUAAACGUGUGGCCGCACCUCAGGUGUUCAUUUCCCCCUCUCAUAAAGCCGGAGCCUUCCUCGUCCUCCUCCUUGUCCUCUGCCUCCCUCCUCCUCCUGCCUUUAUGGCAGCCCCUGGGUUUCAUUAGAUCAGCUGUGAGAUGAAAAUCUCCACAGCACUUUACAACGUCGAUCGCACCUUAUUAAAGCCAAGGGUACGGCGGCGAGGUCAUGUGAUUGAUGGAUGUAUCCAGAAAAGCGUUUUCGUGUGAGGACGCAGUCGGCCAUUGCUGUUUCCGGCAUUUGCAUCAUGAGGAUGUUUAUGAAAGCGUUAACGCCCGUCUGCAUGAACAGGAUACAGGAGACUUUUAUUUACUGAUGCUUUUAAUCAUCCUGUCAUUCAGCUGAUAUUUACUCUUACAGAAUUCUUAUGGGUGCUUAAAAUCCUAUAAAUGCUUAAAGGUUAACCAGGGCAUUUAAGCUGAGGCUAAAAUGGGAUAAACAAGAUGAAUCUGGUAAUCUACUGUUGGGAGCAGGUGUAAGAACUCAGUUUCCAAAGCGCUCUUGAAUGCAGCAUUACGCUUUGCCUCAUUUAAACUGGGCGGUGUGGGUCCGGUAGGUGUGCUGUUGUGUCUGUCCCACUGUAAAAGCUGAGCCGUACCACACCUGGACCCUUUCUGUUCUAACGGACCGGUUCUGUGAGGGUGGAGCUUCUUUUUCCCCCGUGUCUUGUCUGGCUGUGAAGAAAACAGAAUUGAUGUCUGAAUGCUGGUGACAAGCCUUACAGAUUUACUCUCAGGUGGAGCAUCAAAGCUUCUGCUUUAAUGCCACGCCCGAUACUUAAAACUUCAUUGUUAUUGCUUUUUGAAUGCUCUGUGAGGGCGGAGCUUCUGGCAUCACACAACUAGGGCUGCCACGUUUAGUCAACUCAUCACGACAACGUCGACAAACGAAAUAGUCGUCUAUUAAUUGCUAAUUAACUGCUUUUGACUAACCCCAGAGUGUUUCACUUCACCUCAUCGUUCACGGACGUGUGGAAGACGAGAAGGAAGAUGCCACAAAGCAAAACCCAAGCAGAGCUGCCACCUGGACGCCAUUAUUGAUUGGUUUAAUAUGUUCAGUUAUUAAUAGAAUGACGCCGUGACUCCCAUUUAGGUUUAUCCCACCUGCCCAGUGAGAGCCCAGCUGGUGGGGGGAACCAUCACCUGGAUAUGUUGACCAUAAAGUACCAGGAUCCACCUGUCUAGUGUACCACGAUCUUCAUGUAAAUCAGGUGGUUUUCUAGUUAAACUAAAGACUUCACCAAGAGAACCAUUGUUGUUGGACAGCUCAGAGGUCUAACUGAUCAGCCGUUCAUAAAACACAACCCUAAAACACCAAGUAAGGAUUUAUAAAAGCACUGAAAUGGCUCUGCCCAUUACCAGCUGGUCUGUUCCCUUAAAAUUUUUUGAAUAACUCAACUUAAAGAUGAUGAUUUCAUUCACUGUCACAUGACUGAACAAUUAUAUAUAUAGAUAUAUAUACACACACACACACACACACACACACACACAGUGGGGCAAAAAAGUAUUUAGUCAGCCACCGAUUGUGCAAGUUCUCCCACUUAAAAUGAUGACAGAGGUCAGUAAUUUACAUCAUAGGUACACUUCAACUGUGAGAGACAGAAUGUGAAAAAAAAUCCAUGAAUUCACAUGGCAGGAUUUUUAAAGAAUUUAUUUGUAAAUCAGGGUGGAAAAUAAGUAUUUAAUCAAUAAUAAAAUUUCAACUCAAUACUUUGUAACAUAACCUUCGUUGGCAAUAACAGAGGUCAAACGAUUACUAUAGGUCUUUAUCAGGUUUGCACACACAGUAGCUGGUAUUUUGGCCCAUUCUUCCAUGCAGAUCUUCUCGAGAGCAGUGAUGUUUUGGGGCUGUCGCCGAGCAACACGGACUUUCAACUCCCUCCACAGAUUUUCUAUGGGGUUGAGGUCUGGAGACUGGCUAGGCCACUCCAGGACUUUCAAAUGCUUUUUACGGAGCCACUCCUUUGUUGCCCGGGAUCAUUGUCGUGUUGGAAGACCCAGCCACGUUUCAUCUUCAAAGCUCUAACUGAUGGAAGGAGGUUUUGGCUCAGAAUCUCACGAUACAUGGCCCCAUUCAUUCUGUCCUUAACACGGAUCAGUCGUCCUGUCCCCUUAGCAGUAAAACAGCCCCAAAGCAUGAUGUUCCCACCCCCAUGCUUCACAGUAGGUAUGGUGUUCUUGGGAUGCAACUCAGUAUUCUUCUUCCUCCAAACACGACGAGUUGAGUUUAUACCAAAAAGUUCUACUUUAGUUUCAUCUGACCACAUGACAUUCUCCCAAUCCUCUGCUGUAUCAUCCAUGUACUCUCUGGCAAACUUCAGACAGGCCUGGACACGCACUGGCUUCAGCAGCGGAACACGUCUGGCACUGCAGGAUUUGAUUCCCAGCCGUUGUAGUGUGUUACUGAUGGUGACCUUUGUUACUGUGGUCCCAGCUCUCUGCAGGUCAUUCACCAGGUCCCCCCGUGUGGUUCUGGGAUUCUUGCUCACCGUUCUCAUGAUCAUUUUGACCCCACGGGAUGAGAUCUUGCGUGGAGCCCCAGAUCGAGAGAGAUUAUCAGUGGUCUUGUAUGUCUUCCAUUUUCUGAUAAUUGCUCCCACAGUUUUGCUCCUUUUUUUCACACCAAGCUGCUUGCCUAUUGUAGAUUCACUCUUCCCAGCCUGGUGCAGGUCUACAAUUAUUUUCCUGGUGUCCUUCGAAAGCUCUUUGGUCUUGGCCAAAAUGGAGUUUGGAGUCUGACUGUUUGAGGCUGUGGACAGGUGUCUUUAAUACAGAUAACGGCUGUGUCUCAAUUCAGGGUCUGCAUCCUACCUCGGCCGGAUUCGUCGGCCGGUUACGUCACAGCGCCGCGACUCGGCCUGUCCCAAUUCGAAGACUCCUUCAAAUGCGGUCGACGAAUGCGGCCUUCUUUUCGCCUGAAUGAAGGAUGGAUCCGGUGUAUCCUUCAAUGGGUAGCAUUUCCCAAGAUGCCUUGCGGGCCGGCCGGCAGAAAAACUUAAAAACAAUGGCGGACAGUGAAGCGGGAGCUGUCGGAGAGGAUUGCGCUUAUAAAUGACCAAAAGAGAAAACCAGGGAAUUUAUUAAGCUUAGGGCAGAGAUGGACCACUUUUGAUCACUGGAGCAAAGUAUUCGGCGGCUGUGGCAUGGAGACUAUUCUGGAGAAAAUGGGCAUCCAGGGGAAGGUGCCAGCAAUGACCAGCUUCUGGAGCUGAUCAGGGAGGACAUGAGGCUGCAGAGGGAGGCAGAGCAGCAGAGGGCCCAGGAGAGAAGGGAGAACUUUGACAGCUUUUUACUUUGCUAGAAAAAUGGUUAAUAAGGAUUAAACAUGUACAUGUAAAAGAAAUAUCUAAAUAAAAUCAAUUCUGUAUUAAACCCUUGAAUUCUAUUUUUGUUUACAAAUGAGAAUUGUUUACUAGAGGGUAUCCGCUGGGUCUUGAAAAGUCUUAAAAGGUGACAAAUCGGUUUUGGUCAAAUUAAGACCCUUAGAAAGUAUUAAAAACUAUUAUCACAUCUUUGCUCAGGCUCAGCUUGUCUAAAGUAUUUUCUCUGAAUUAGCUCUCCAACAGUCAAGGAAAUGAUUAACCCCCAGAGACCCACGGUUGUAACAUUACAACAUCAGAUUUAAGUCCACAAAAAUAAACCUUCCCCAUUUUUUUUCUUUUUCAAACAACAUUUACAUUGCUAAUAGGUCCUAUUGUUCAGUUCUGCAACACUAUUGGCUGUUAAAAUGUGUAAAUAGGCCCGUUUAUCUGGCCUAGAACAUGUGAAAGGUUAAAAAAAGAUUUUGCAGUUGUUUUCUAAAUUUGGGUUUCUGGGGGUUAAAAAGCUAAAUAAAACGUCAAGCUCCAUCAUUUAAAGUUCCUUCUCCCUUCUGCCCAGCGGUUCCACGGUUGCUAGGCGACGGAACGUUCGCCGAGGGAGUUCAUGAAGGCUAGGCCUGUCCAAAUUCACAGCCGUUAACAUCCGGUCUACCCGGCCGACGGAGGAUGCAGCCCACGUCGGCCGGGUGGGCUGGGUCCUUCGAAGGAUGCAGACCCUGAAUUGAGACACAGCCAACGUGUUCAAACAGGUGCCAUUAAUACAAGUAACGAGUGGAGGACAGAAAAGCUUCUUAAAGAAGACGUUACAGGUCUGUGAGAGCCAGAGAUUUUCCUUGUUUGAAGUGACCAAAUACUUAUUUUCCACCCUGAUUUACAAAUAAAUACUUUAAAAAUCCUGCCAUGUGAAUUCAUGGAUUUUUUUCACAUUCUGUCUCUCACAGUUGAAGUGUACCUAUGAUGAAAAUUACUGACCUCUGUCAUCAUUUUAAGUGGGAGAACUUGCGCAAUCGGUGGCUGACUAAAUACUUUUU